This 1262-nucleotide small RNA is filed under the name Pongo abelii (Sumatran orangutan). Its description in RNAcentral is "retained intron". The record is from RNAcentral. Lineage: Eukaryota; Metazoa; Chordata; Mammalia; Primates; Hominidae.
GAUGUACCCCAGGGCCCAGACUUCAGGCGCCCUCACAAUGCCGGCGGUUUGAGUACAAGCUCAGCUUCAAAGGCCCAAGGCUGGCAUUGCCUGGAGCUGGAAUACCCUUCUGGAGCCAUCAUGGAGACGCCAUCCUGGGCCUGGAGGAAGUGCGGCUGACGCCAUCCAUGAGGAACCGGAGUGGCGCCGUGUGGAGCAGGGCCUCUGUCCCCUUCUCUGCCUGGGAAGUAGAGGUGCAGAUGAGGGUGACGGGACUGGGGCGCCGGGGAGCCCAGGGCAUGAACAGUCCUGCCAUCCGUGUGCUGGCCAGCGAUGGGCACAUCCCCUCUGAGCAGCCUGGGGAUGGAGCCAGCCAAGCGCUGGGCUCCUGUCAUCGGGACUUCCGGAACCAGCCACACCCCUUCAGAGCACAGAUCACCUACUGGGGUCAGAGGCUGCGCGUGUCCUUGAACAGUGGCCUCACUCCCAGUGAUCCAGAUGAGUUCUGCAUGGAUGUGGGGCCCCUGCUUUUGGUCCCUGGAGGUUUCUUUGGGGUCUCAGCAGCCACCGUCACCCUGGCAGGUGAGGAUCCCACUGGGCAGGUAAGAGCAGAAGGGCAGUGACGAAUAAAUCACCCUCAGCACACCUUCUAAAGAGCACUGGGGUGGCGUCAGCCACUUCGCCACGGACCUGGGCCUCCAUGACCCUUCGGAAAAGUAAUGUCUGCCUUGAGACUUGCAAGUCUCAAAUGGGAUAAAACAAGAGAAGCUUUGAUUUCAGUGCUGGCCAUAUAAGUACUCCUAGCUGUGAGCUGCGGGACAAGUGGAAGACAGACAGCAAGGAGGGACAUUUAGGAAAAUGGAGCAAAGAGAUGUGACACCAUGGAGAGUCCAUGGAGGGUCCCACAGCGGGAAAGCCAAGGGCAACCAGAGCGUGGGAGUCCUUGAAUGCCAGGACCUUGGUCUGGCUUCUGAGGAGGAGAGUGACAUGGUCAGAGCUAUGCUGGAAAGGUGGCCACGGUGCAGUUGCUACUACCAGUAGCAGCUGUGCUCUGGGGGCCUAGAGAGUGUCCGUUGGUCUGCUGCCAUGGCUCUAGCCCGGGAUGUUUUGGGAUCAUCCAGUUCUGCCACAGGGGCCUGCCUCUGACUGAGUGUGAGGUUCAACCCUCACCACCCACCCAUCUACCUGUCAACCCUCACAUCUUCCUAUGAAGUGAGCAAGACAAGCAUCAGAUGGUGGCCCAAAGUCUCCCCUCUUGCCUCGGUGGGAUAUCAUGGCAGUGA